RNAcentral lists this ribosomal RNA (497 nucleotides) under uncultured bacterium. RNAcentral describes it as "partial 16S ribosomal RNA". It matches the Rfam family "Bacterial small subunit ribosomal RNA", at positions 28 to 507 of the family's 1533-position model. The record is from RNAcentral.
GAUGAACGCUGGCGGCGUGCCUAAUACAUGCAAGUCGAGCGAACGGACGAGAAGCUUGCUUCUCUGAUGUUAGCGGCGGACGGGUGAGUAACACGUGGAUAACCUACCUAUAAGACUGGGAUAACUUCGGGAAACCGGAGCUAAUACCGGAUAAUAUUUUGAACCGCAUGGUUCAAAAGUGAAAGACGGUCUUGCUGUCACUUAUAGAUGGAUCCGCGCUGCAUUAGCUAGUUGGUAAGGUAACGGCUUACCAAGGCAACGAUGCAUAGCCGACCUGAGAGGGGUAACGGCCAAACCUGAACUGAGACACCGGCCAAGCUCCUACGGGAGGGAGGAGUAGGGGAACCUCCGGCAAGGGGGGAAGCCUUACGGAGGAACCGCGCGGGGGUGAAGGAGGGCCUCCGAUCGGAAAACCCUUUUAUUAGGGAAAAACCAAUGGUGAAGUAACUGUGCACAUCCUGACGGUACCUAAUCAGAAAGCCACGGCUAACUACGUG